This 94-nucleotide small RNA is filed under the name Flavobacterium caeni. RNAcentral's name for it is "Flavo-1 RNA". It matches the Rfam family "Flavo-1 RNA". Lineage: Bacteria; Pseudomonadati; Bacteroidota; Flavobacteriia; Flavobacteriales; Flavobacteriaceae. The record is from Rfam by way of RNAcentral.
AAUGCGUUGCAUUUGCAGUGGAAAUCCUUUUUAGGAAUUAUGCAGCAAAACGGAAUAAUUCCUAAAAAGAUUGAAACGAAAAGCGGGAAUAGCU